Propithecus coquereli (Coquerel's sifaka) is the source of this 113-nucleotide unclassified non-coding RNA. It matches the Rfam family "Y RNA". Rfam says of the family: Y RNAs are components of the Ro ribonucleoprotein particle (Ro RNP), in association with Ro60 and La proteins. The Y RNAs and Ro60 and La proteins are well conserved, but the function of the Ro RNP is not known. NCBI's taxonomy places the organism in Eukaryota, Metazoa, Chordata, Mammalia, Primates, Indriidae. The record is from Ensembl.
GGCUGGUCCGAAGGUAGUGUGUUAUCUCUCUUGAUUAUUCACAGUCAGUUACAGAUUGAACUCCUUGUUUUAUUCUAUCCCACCUUCUCACUACUGCACUUGACUAGUCUUAA